Molecule: ribosomal RNA, 479 nt
Filed under: uncultured bacterium
Lineage: Bacteria
Description: bacterial SSU rRNA
Rfam family: Bacterial small subunit ribosomal RNA
Source: RNAcentral
CUGGCGGCGUGCCUAACACAUGCAAGUCGAACGGAGUAAUUAAGCGGAAGUUUCGGAUGGAAGCAUAGUACUUAGUGGCGGACGGGUGAGUAACGCGUGGGCAACCUGCCCUGUACCGGGGGAUAACACUUAGAAAUAGGUGCUAAUACCGCAUAAGCGCACAGCUUCGCAUGAAGGUGUGUGAAAAACUCCGGUGGUACAGGAUGGACCCGCGUCUGAUUAGCUAGUUGGUGGGGUAGAGGCCUACCAAGGCGACGAUCAGUAGCCGGCCUGAGAGGGUGACCGGCCACAUUGGGACUGAGACACGGCCCAAACUCCUACGGGAGGCAGCAGUGGGGAAUAUUGCACAAUGGGGGAAACCCUGAUGCAGCGACGCCGCGUGAGUGAAGAAGUAUUUCGGUAUGUAAAGCUCUAUCAGCAGGGAAGAAAGUGACGGUACCUGACUAAGAAGCCCCGGCUAACUACGUGCCAGCCGCCGC